GCCGACGUGGUGGAACUGGCAGACACAGCGGAUUCGCACUCCGCCGGCCCAUGCGCUCACACCGCAUGCCGUGAGGGUUCGAGCCCCUCCGUCGGCACCA
Molecule: transfer RNA, 100 nt
Filed under: Gammaproteobacteria bacterium
Lineage: Bacteria; Pseudomonadati; Pseudomonadota; Gammaproteobacteria
Description: tRNA-Ala
Rfam family: tRNA
About the family: Transfer RNA (tRNA) molecules are approximately 80 nucleotides in length. Their secondary structure includes four short double-helical elements and three loops (D, anti-codon, and T loops).
Source: RNAcentral